This 469-nucleotide ribosomal RNA is filed under the name uncultured bacterium. RNAcentral describes it as "bacterial SSU rRNA". It matches the Rfam family "Bacterial small subunit ribosomal RNA", at positions 34 to 498 of the family's 1533-position model. The record is from RNAcentral.
CGCUGGCGGCAGGCCUAACACAUGCAAGUCGAGCGGAUGACAGGAGCUUGCUCCUGAAUUCAGCGGCGGACGGGUGAGUAAUGCCUAGGAAUCUGCCUGGUAGUGGGGGACAACGUUUCGAAAGGAGCGCUAAUACCGCAUACGUCCUACGGGAGAAAGCAGGGGACCUUCGGGCCUUGCGCUAUCAGAUGAGCCUAGGUCGGAUUAGCUAGUUGGUGAGGUAAUGGCUCACCAAGGCGACGAUCCGUAACUGGUCUGAGAGGAUGAUCAGUCACACUGGAACUGAGACACGGUCCAGACUCCUACGGGAGGCAGCAGUGGGGAAUAUUGGACAAUGGGCGAAAGCCUGAUCCAGCCAUGCCGCGUGUGUGAAGAAGGUCUUCGGAUUGUAAAGCACUUUAAGUUGGGAGGAAGGGCAGUAACUUAAUACGUUGCUGUUUUGACGUUACCGACAGAAUAAGCACCGGCU